CGUGACAGGAUGGAGAUGGAGGGAUGGGGCCGCUGAGGAGGAGCUGGAUCCUGCCAGCCUCCAUCCCUCAGGCUAAUGCACACAGCCUGAGCCGCCUGCAGGCACACGGUGACAUACAGAUGUACAGAAUCAACACAGAGCCUCAGCUGCUCGUCUCUGGUCUCCAGCGUUUUCAUAUCUACCUUUUUUGGUGCCAUGCAAGCUGCCCUAUAUGUUAGAAAAGGUUCUUUGCCCCACUGAAGGCAGCUGGAAACUUUUUGAACCCUCCCUCUCAGACAGCCCUCAGUCUGCAUUGACAUGGAAGAGUCCCUGAACAGGUCAACCAGGCACAGACUCAGGGGCCCGAUGUUUCAGGGUUCCCUCAUGAUCCUCCUCUGUGAUAAUUUAAAGAAACAUUUCCAAACCAGUAAGAGACUUAAAAUAACAACAAUGAAAACCAAGCCAACUACAAAGAGAUGCAAAACAGUUGCAAAUACAAUAAAUCACAACGAAGCUCACUGUGGAUCCUCUUUUACCUCCCCUCUGAAAUCAGAAACAGAAUGCGUUUAUUAGUCCCACAAAGGGGAGAUUUUCAAAAGCUAAGGAGCCAAGACAGCUUAAUAUCACUCAAGGAGCAUUCAUACAAAAAAUGCAAUUAGAAAUUACACAAUAUACAAAUUACACAUCCAGUACCAGUAACAGCUUAGCGAUAGAGCAGCCAGAUGAAAGUACAACAGGGGGUAGAAUAAAUUGCAGAGCUAUUUAUGGUAUACGAUUCACCUGAGUCACACAGGUCUUUACUUCCCUCUUCUCUUCCUCCACCGUCUGAACUGUUGUCAUUCACUGAGGACAGAACGAUAAGCAUGAGCUUCUGAACUAUAGUGAAAGUGUCCUAUAGUUUAUAAUGUGAAAGCAAAGUAUGACAUCAGUGUAAAUCUCUACAUCUGUAUCAAUGUUUAUCCACAUGUUAUUUAAAUAUUGUUUUACUAACCAUUCUUUACUUUUACCCUGCUACACCGUGGACAAUAUCAAUAUUAAUGUCUAUACUUCUCUAUCACCUGAGCGCCUGCUGUCCAGGGUUACCUUGACAACCAUGAUGUAGCAGGACAAGCUGACAGCAGAGGGCAGGACUUCUCUUGAGACGGUGGAAAUUCCGUGGCCUUUGAGAGUGAAGACAACGAAACCACACAGCACCGUCAUCAGAGUUCGGACACACUCACUCUCACUGUGUUGUUGUUGAAUUCAAUAAAACACUCGGAC
Long non-coding RNA from Eleginops maclovinus (Patagonian blennie), 1239 nucleotides. RefSeq lists it as uncharacterized. The transcript is spliced from 3 exons. The record is from RefSeq and is a predicted model, not a curated record. NCBI's taxonomy places the organism in Eukaryota, Metazoa, Chordata, Actinopteri, Perciformes, Eleginopidae.